GAAAAUGCUGAGACAGGGAGGAGUACAUUUCUUUAAGCUAGAAGAGACGAGCAAGUCUCUGUAAGAGAGAGAAGCCGAUGCGCUGAGAGACUUCUUUAGCCUGCGGAAAUGGAAGUAGCCCUUGAGCAGUCUUUCUGAACGGUCGAACCGACUUAUUAGGAAAGUUCCGGGAGUCCGUUAUCGAAUGAAUGAGGCGCGUUUUUUGCGCGUAAAUAAAGGUGGUACCGCGGAGCUUUCUUCGUCCUUGUG
This 249-nucleotide non-coding RNA is filed under the name Sporolactobacillus inulinus. Its description in RNAcentral is "T-box sequence". It matches the Rfam family "T-box leader". Rfam says of the family: Uncharged tRNA acts as the effector for transcription antitermination of genes in the T-box leader family. T-boxes are found upstream of many aminoacyl-tRNA synthetase genes and some amino acid biosynthetic genes usually in Gram-positive bacteria. The record is from RNAcentral. Lineage: Bacteria; Bacillati; Bacillota; Bacilli; Caryophanales; Sporolactobacillaceae.